CAGUCGCCGCGGUAAUACGAAGGGGGCUAGCGUUGUUCGGAAUUACUGGGCGUAAAGCGCACGUAGGCGGAUAUUUAAGUCAGGGGUGAAAUCCCAGAGCUCAACUCUGGAACUGCCUUUGAUACUGGGUAUCUUGAGUAUGGAAGAGGUGAGUGGAAUUCCGAGUGUAGAGGUGGAAUUCGUAGAUAUUCGGAGGAACACCAGUGGCGAAGGCGGCUCACUGGUCCAUUACUGACGCUGAGGUGCGAAAGCGUGGGGAGCAAACAGGAUUAGAUACCCCAGUAGUCCCUGUCUCUUAUAC
Molecule: ribosomal RNA, 301 nt
Filed under: uncultured bacterium
Lineage: Bacteria
Description: partial 16S ribosomal RNA
Rfam family: Bacterial small subunit ribosomal RNA
Source: RNAcentral